This 1558-nucleotide ribosomal RNA is filed under the name Triticum aestivum (bread wheat). RNAcentral's name for it is "partial small subunit ribosomal RNA". The record is from RNAcentral. Lineage: Eukaryota; Viridiplantae; Streptophyta; Magnoliopsida; Poales; Poaceae.
UUGGGAAACGUUUGCUGCCGGUGCGCCGGUCGAAGCGUUGCGCCGGACGCGCGCGCUUCGUUGGAUCGAAGGCAAUCCUACAGCCCUUGUGUGUUGUCUUCCACUCGUCUCUUUUCUUCAGAUCCCGUCGCGAUGCAAACUGCAUCUCCCGCUCACGACCAUAACCCAUCCCCUCCAUCCCGCGAGCGGAAGUUGUUGUGAGAGCAUCGGUCUCCGGCCACCGCCCUGCACCACCGGGCGUGAAACCGAGGCCGUCAUCUAUUUGUCCUACUCCAGCGAACUGGCGGCCACCCCCACACUUCCUCCUCGGCUUUUUCCCCUCUCCAGCCAUGGGACAAGAGCAGUGGCGGAGCUUGGCCCAGAAAAAUGGGCGGGCCGGCUGUAGAAAAGAACUAUUAGGAUAGUGUUUCAUGGCCCAAAAGUAAGUAUAGACUACAGAAAAAUCGCAUGGGCUGGGCGGGCCACGGCCCAUUCGCCUUGCUGUAGCUCCGCCACUGGACAAGAGAUGGGUGGCCCUCUAUGUUGCAACCAGGCGGCCGAGGUGUCGCCGUAGACGAAAGCCAACCAAUGUUUGCGGACCGUAGGGGACGCAUGCUGGGACCAGCCCCACAGAUGCUACAACCAAUUUAUUUUUUGCUCGAACCACCAUGAGAGAUGCUGGGAAGCUGCUACUGCGUGCAAUCGAGCUGCAACCAGCAGCUCAAAAAGCUACAUCCGGCGACUUUGUUUGCUGGAACCAGAGAAAGCGGCGGGGUUGUGUCAGGCGACGACGUACGACCGACGUACUGCGGAGCUGCAACCUGCAACAACAUUUGUUACAACCGUUGACCAUUUUUGCUGGAACCAAAGAAAGUGACGGGGUUGCGUCAGGCAACGGCGGAGCUGCUACAUGCGGCGAAAUGCUACGACCACCGUGAUGCGGAGCUGCAAUCGGCAACACCAUUUGUUACAAACAUAGUCCAUUUUUGCUGGAACCAGAGAAGAUCGAGGCUACUAAUGGUGCACGGCGAGCUUCAACCAGCGACAUGAGAUGCUACAACCAGCACAAUUUUUUGCUGGAACCACAUAUUGUGAUUUUUGCGAGUUACUUCGUCGUCUCCAUCGUUCCAUCCAUGCUGGGGCGGCACCGGUAGGGGCACAAUGUUCCAACCACUUACUUGUUUUGCUGGAACCAGCGAGGGACGAGGAAGCGUCGUACUAUUGCCGGCGAGCAGAGCUGCCGCGGCCAACGACGGCAACCCAUGACCACAAAGGGCGAGGGAGAAGUGUAGGGGAGGUGCUGCCGGCGUGCAGCAGAGCGGGUAAAAAAGGCGACCGGUGACGGCGGCGCGUGUCGACGGCGAGGCAAGCCGGCGGGGGCGGAGGCAACGGCUGUCUGGGAACGGGGUGGAGCUGCGUGGCGAGGUGAGGAAGACAACACAGAGGAGAGACACACGAGGGGGGAAGGGAUGAAGCAGCUUUUUGGAUAAGGAACUGAUGGCCUAGAUGAAUUGGAUCGGAUGGCUAGGGCGCGACCGGCCCAAAUUUGGGCCGGCGCACCGGCGCCUAGCGCUGGCCU